This 4833-nucleotide long non-coding RNA is filed under the name Panax ginseng (ginseng). Its description in RNAcentral is "long non-coding RNA (PGIN_LNC015477)". Lineage: Eukaryota; Viridiplantae; Streptophyta; Magnoliopsida; Apiales; Araliaceae. The record is from RNAcentral.
GACCAUAUAAAUUCUUAGUAGUACACGGAUUCUUGGCUUGUAAAGGAAUAUCUGUUUUAACUUAAUUCGUACGCGGCUUGGAAAAUAUUUGGAAUUUAGUAUUAGUUUUAUAAUUCUAUUGUAAUUAGAAUUUCUUUUCCAAAUUGACUUCUAUUAGGGUUAUAGUUUAUAAAUUCCUAUUAGGAUUUGGAUUGUUUUGAGUAGUAUAAAUAGAGGUCCAAGUUGAUGUAAUCAAACACAUUAUACAUUAUUCAUUAUUCAAUAAACUUGUGAGGUUAUUCUCUACUUUUGGUUCUUUGAAGAAUUCCUAAGAAAAUAGUAUUUUCUUAAUUAUUCUUUGAGAUUCAAUUUGACUUAUCAUACAACAAUUCAUAGUUGUGUGUGGCGUCUUCUACCGCAUCAAUCGUCGAUUGUACCGAGAUUACCGCUUCAAUAUAAGCGAGGGGUCAAGGUGUCGUUGGUGUCCAUUCAACGCAAAUUUCGAACACGGGAAAUUGUACCAAGAUUACCGUCUAAAGUAUACACGAGAGGUUAAGGUGUUGCAAGCAAUUCGCCCAAUAACUGUGUUAGAAACGAUCCGGACGACGACCACCUCACGCAAACAUGCCGUGGAGUCUAUCAUUUGGUAUCAAAGCCAAGUUUUUCUAGCGAGUUACUUAUCUUUAAUUUUCAGUCGAAAUAUAUAUUGUAAAAAAAAAAAAAAAACAAAAAAGACAAAAAAAAAAAGAAACAAAAAAUCAGAUUUUAUUUUCCAUUGUGCGAACCAAAUUUGUAGCACACCAUCAAAUCAUCAAAUUCCAACCAAGAGUUCAUACCGUUCCAUCAUCAUCGAUUCUGAAACGGAGCUACAAUUUACAAAUCUAAGGCAUACAAGAGGAGUACAAGGCAAUCGAUCGGUGAUUUUGUGGCAUUCUGAUAGUCACAACAUCUAUAAUUUUGUUCCGUGAUAAGUAAUUUUUGAAUUGAUUAGUAAAACCAAGAAUUUUGCUAGGGGAAUUCAAGAAGAACCUAUUAGAGAGAAUAUUGAGGUAAAAGGCUUAGUGGUGAGAUUAAUCGAGGGUAAAAGCCAAUUGAGUGAUACACGAGAGAUUCAUUAUUAUUUGAGUGAAACACGUAAGGGAGUGUGUGAGGAAAUUGUUUUUAUCUCCUAACCCUUGUUUUGUAGUAAAUAUGUUGGGCUAUGAAGAGCCAUUGAAAAGAAGACCCAGAGUUCGUAUGAAGUCUAGCGUGGAUGAGUGGUGGAGAUCAUGGAAGGAGGAUUAUGAGAGGCAUCACAAUUAUCAUCGACGUAGGAAGCAGCCUCAUAAACCUAUGGAGCAUAGGAGGGAACAUUUAUUGUCUAGGGAAAUAAAAGUUGAAGAAGAUCAUGCGAUUCUUGGAGAGUCAUGGGAGACUAGAAAAGCUACAAGUGUGCAAGCUAACGAGGAAGAAACAAUGCAACAAAAGAAUAUGGUUUAUACUAGGUUUCUAGUACAAGAAAAGGUAUGCAUUGUAAAAAUUGAUUGUGAUAUUAGUACUAACAUUGCUAGCACUACAAUGGUGGAGAAACUAGGGUUGUCAACAGUUGCACACCCUCGGCCUUAUAAGAUGCAAGGGAUCGUCGAUUGUGAGGAGGCAAUGGUGACUAGACGAGUGUCAGUUUCUUUUCGUAUUGACAAAUAUGAAGAUGAAAUAUUAUGCGAUGUAGUUCCAAUCCAUACUUGUCAUUUGUUACUUGAGAGGCCAUGGCGACACAACAGGUGCGCGAAGCAUAACAGUUGUACUAAUAAAUAUUCAUUGGUACACAAUUGAAUAAGAGUCAACCUUUGUCCUAUGACGUCCGAGCAAGUUCGUGACGAUCUAAUGUAUUUACAAAAAUAUCGUGAUCAAAUGCAAGAAGAAAUUAUAGAAUAUGCAGUCCAAAGAGAGUUAUUAGGUUUGAGUGUUCAAGAUGAAAUCCAUGAUCUAAAACAAGAUGGUGAACAUUUGAAAGAAAGUAAUCAAGGAGAUGAAUUUGUAAAAGGAAAUACAUGUGGAAAAGAUCGACAAAAAGAAAUUGUUCAAAAGAUUGAUAAUGUAAAAGAAAAAAUUGAAAAUAGUGAGAAUGAAAGGAAAAGAGAGUUUGAGAAAAAAGAGAAUGAAAAGAGUGAGCUUGAAAAUAAACGAGAGAAAAAUAAACAAGAGAGUGAGCAUAAAGAAGAGAGAAGAAAUAUGUGACUAUGAAAAAGAGAGUGAGUUGAAAAGUGAGUUAUAUUUUGAAAAGCCAAUUAUUGUACAUUCGUACAAGACGGCGCUUUUGAGUACUAACACUAAUAAUUCUUCUUUGUCUAGUUUUGUUUUGUCUCUUGUACAGGUUGUUGAUGAAAUACCUUGUGCUAUCAUUCCGUAUCGAUCAUCUGAUAGUAUUUCCGAGGAGACGACGGAGUUACCAAGGCGGGUUGGAGAAUUGGUGAAAGUGGGUAUCGUGACAGAAGCAUGAGUUCAUGUGAUGAUUAUGAGAUUAUAGUACCUAAGGAGGAUGGGACAACGAGUUUGUUCGUCGAUUUUGAAUUGGUAAACAAGUAUCGUUAUUCUUUUUCUUGUUUGGAUAAUAUGCUUGAUAGAUUACAUAGUACUUGUGUUUUAUCUACACUUGAAGAUGAUCAUGUGAUGACAAUACCUAAUCAAAUUAGUGUGCAUAACUGUGAUAAAUGGAAAAUCGUUUUAACAUGUGAGUUGUUUAGAUGGAUAGUUAUUUAUGUUAGAUUAACUGAUGCAUCUAGUGUUUUCAUGAGUUAUUUAAAACAUGUUUUGCAUGCUUCCAUUGAAUUUGUUAUUAGCUAUUUUGAGGGUAAAAUCGUCUUUAUCAUAAACUAUGGAGGAUAUUUGAUUUUUGUUGAGUUAGUUUAUGAUCAUGAUAUAUAUUCUCGUUUUUGAUGUGCUUACUUGCAUGAAAUUAAUUCUAGGUUUUCUUAUUCAAAUAUUGACCAAGGGUUUCAUGCUAGUCAAUCUUUACAUGAAUUAUCGUUAGUUGACAAUGGUAGUAAUCAUGUUGUUUCGUUAGAGCAAUCUUCAUUGCAUGAUUUGCUAUCAUAUGGUUUUGAUUCAAGGAGUGUUUAUCAUCAAGAUGGUUUGAGAGAUGAGUUAUUUGCAUGUUUAGUUAGUUCACUUGGAUUAGCCAAGGCAUUGCAUACUUCCAUGGAAUUGUUGAAUUAUAUUUUUCAUUCUUUCAUGGAAAAAUUUGUAAUUCUCUAUUUUGAUGAUAUUCCGAUUUUUGUCAACACUUUGGGAAAUUCUUUAGCAUGUGUUGAGUUUGUUUGUGAUCAUCGUCGAUAUACUAUUGAAUUUUCAACUUAUGAUUGUGACCUUUUUAUUCCGUUGGUGCUAUUAUGUGAUUUUGAUUGUGUUAAUGUCAAUGGAAGGAGAAAGGUUGGUUAUGUUUUGCAGAUUCGUGAUAGGAUCAUAUUCAUCGAGGGAAACAUGGAUCAUGCAAUUCAAUUCGAUCAAUGCAUUGAGAGUUUACAGGGAAGUGUUUUGAAUAUUGUUUUAGUAGACUAUGCAUAUGAUUUUGAUUUCUUUGUGAUUAGACUAAAAGAACUUGUUGAUUUGUUUUGUGUUUAAUCCAGGAAUUCAAGAGAGUUUGUGUGAGAAGCAUGGCGAAUUUCAAGUAUUGAUAUUUGAUCUAGGAGAAUUGACAAAUGUGUUUCUGCGAAGGAUCGAGAUCUUUAGAUUGACUUUUGAUCUGGGGAUUCGUCAUUGGGAGAAUCUAUCACAUGAAGAGUUUUUCAUUUUGAUAUUUGAUCCAGGAGGAGUUGGAACUUUUCAAAUUCUUGCUUUCGUUGCUAUAUUACUUAUUCAUUUAAAUUGCCAGAUAAGACUUGUGGUUAUAUUUUUUUGGUGUUACUAACUUGGUUUGUUUUUAAUGUAGGAUCAGAUUUUUGGACAAAUCCUUUUCAAGAGGUGCAAAUGCCAGAUUUGAGUACAAAUCCUUUUGAAGAGGAGAGGAAUGAUGACAGACUGAUCGGGUUAGAAUUUUUCGUCAAUUUAUCGACUCGGACGUCAAAUGUUCAACAAAUAAUUUCAAAUAAUUGGGCUGAAGAUUAUCCAAGGAAAUCCAAUUGUGUGGGCAUUAAAACUAAAUUCGGUAAUUGUAUGGAAAUAGAGGUUUAAUUCAAGCAUGUGGGAUUAAUUGCAUAAAAAGGAAGGCUGAAAUUGUUUAUUUAUGCAACUAACGUGGGACAUGCAAAGGAACAUUAAGUUAUUUUGCAAAGUGGGCCUUCUAAAAUAGUAAUCCAGCAAGCAAAGCACUUAAGAUUCAUGAAGCAAUGCAAGGAUUCCAAAUUCAGGUCCAAUAAGUGAUCUGAUUUGCAUGGUCAGCAUAUUGUUUUGUGGGCCACGUUUUACAAUCAUCAAGCUGGACCAUAUAAAUUCUUAGUAGUACACGGAUUCUUGGCUUGUAAAGGAAUAUCUGUUUUAACAUAAUUCGUACGCGGCUUGGAAAAUAUUUGGAAUUUAGAAUUAGUUUUAUAAUUAUAUUGUAAUUAGGAUUUCUUUUUUUAAUUAGAAUUCUUUUUCAAAUUGACUUCUAUUAGGGUUAUAGUUUAUAAAUUCCUAUUAGGAUUUGGAUUGUUUUGAAUAAUAUAAAUAGAGGUCCAAGUUGAUGUAAUCAAACACAUUAUACAUUAUUCAUUAUUCAAUAAACUUGUGAGGUUAUUCUCUACUUUUGGUUCUUUGAAGAAUUCCUAAGAAAAUAGUAUUUUCUUAGUUAUUUCUUUGAGAUUCAAUUUGACUUAUCAUACAACAAUUCAUAGUUGUGUGUGCCGUCUUCUACCGCAUCAAUCGUCGAUUGUACCGAGAUUACCGCUUCAAUAUAAG